GGUGGAAUGGCCGAGUGGUGAGGCAACGGUCUGCAAAACCGUGUACACGGGUUCAAUUCCCGUUUCCACCUCUA
RNAcentral lists this transfer RNA (74 nucleotides) under Corynebacterium matruchotii ATCC 14266. RNAcentral describes it as "tRNA-Cys". It matches the Rfam family "tRNA". Rfam says of the family: Transfer RNA (tRNA) molecules are approximately 80 nucleotides in length. RNAcentral also lists the same sequence under 1 other name. Lineage: Bacteria; Bacillati; Actinomycetota; Actinomycetes; Mycobacteriales; Corynebacteriaceae. The record is from RNAcentral.